Molecule: unclassified non-coding RNA, 763 nt
Filed under: Hevea brasiliensis (rubber tree)
Lineage: Eukaryota; Viridiplantae; Streptophyta; Magnoliopsida; Malpighiales; Euphorbiaceae
Source: RNAcentral
AGUCCUGCCCUGAAACCCAUGGAGAUAAUGCUGCAAAUGAGGCUGGCCCAAUUGCUGGCGUUUCUAUAAUGGCGCAGACCUUGGACCACUCUGAGACCACUUUGUGAAUAGAUGUGAUGAUUCCUCCCUCGUAAAUUUUGCCUUUAAAAGGUGAUAAAUGUUCUGGAAAGUAUCCCCAGGCCAUUACAACUGGAUGAAGAUGAAGGUUCCUGCCAAUAUUUGGAUUCACCAAACCACUGGAGAUCAUUAAAGGAGGUGUCAGGAGAGAACCGCAUGCCGAUAGUGUUACUCUAGCCUCCACCUGCAGCUUUUUAGUGAUGUUUGUAUUUGAAGCUCUCGCAACCACUCCCAAGCAUUUUUUCCUACUUCCAAUGUUACCAUCCUCCAAUAUGAAUUUAUCAGCUUUGCAUCCUGUUAGGAUCACAGCACCGCAGACAACAGCGUCAACCAGCCAGGUGGAAUCAGUCCCUUUCUUUUCUCCUGUUCUACAGCCGUAGCAGCAAGAACCACAAUAAUGAUCUCCAGAGGAAUUCCUUGGAACUGAAUCAAUUUUAAAGCCAAGAUUCUCACACCCUUUCCGAAGAACUUGAUUCUGAAAUCCUUCUUUGGAACAGUUAUCUGUAACACCAAUCCUCUUACACACAGCAUCCAUUGCAUUUUGAUAGUAAGAGCUUCCAAAAAGUGGAAUCUUAUGAUCCACACGCCAGUCUCUGAGAACAGAAUCUGGUGUCCUUAUGCAGGCAGACCAGUUUACAGCGGAGCC